Molecule: ribosomal RNA, 491 nt
Filed under: uncultured bacterium
Lineage: Bacteria
Description: partial 16S ribosomal RNA
Rfam family: Bacterial small subunit ribosomal RNA
Source: RNAcentral
AGUGAACGCUGGCGGUAUGCCUAACACAUGCAAGUCGAACGGCAGCACAGUAAGAGCUUGCUCUUACGGGUGGCGAGUGGCGGACGGGUGAGGAAUACAUCGGAAUCUACUUUUUCGUGGGGGAUAACGUAGGGAAACUUACGCUAAUACCGCAUACGACCUACGGGUGAAAGCAGGGGAUCUUCGGACCUUUCGCGAUUGAAUUAGCCGAUGUCGGAUUAGCUAGUUGGCGGGGUAAAGGCCCACCAAGGCGACGAUCCGUAGCUUGUCUGAGGUGAUGAUGAGCCCCACUGGAACUGAGACACGGUACAGACUCUUAGGGGAGGGACGAGGGGGGAAUUGUGGAAAAAGGGGGGAAUCUUGAUCAAGCCAAUCGGGGUGGGUGAAGAAGGCCUGCGGUUGGUAAAGCCCUUUUGUUGGGAAAAAAAGAGAGCGGGUUAAAACCACGCUUUUGUAGGGGAACCAAAAAAAAAAGAACCGCUAAAUUUGGU